UUAAUGAGAGUUUGAUCCUGGCUCAGGACGAACGCUGGCGGCGUGCCUAAUACAUGCAAGUAGAACGCUGAGGUUUGGUGUUUACACUAGACUGAUGAGUUGCGAACGGGUGAGUAACGCGUAGGUAACCUGCCUCAUAGCGGGGGAUAACUAUUGGAAACGAUAGCUAAUACCGCAUAAGAGUAAUUAACACAUGUUAGUUAUUUAAAAGGAGCAAUUGCUUCACUGUGAGAUGGACCUGCGUUGUAUUAGCUAGUUGGUGAGGUAAAGGCUCACCAAGGCGACGAUACAUAGCCGACCUGAGAGGGUGAUCGGCCACACUGGGACUGAGACACGGCCCAGACUCCUACGGGAGGCAGCAGUAGGGAAUCUUCGGCAAUGGACGGAAGUCUGACCGAGCAACGCCGCGUGAGUGAAGAAGGUUUUCGGAUCGUAAAGCUCUGUUGUUAGAGAAGAACGUUGGUAGGAGUGGAAAAUCUACCAAGUGACGGUAACUAACCAGAAAGGGACGGCUAACUACGUGCCAGCAGCCGCGGUAAUACGUAGGUCCCGAGCGUUGUCCGGAUUUAUUGGGCGUAAAGCGAGCGCAGGCGGUUCUUUAAGUCUGAAGUUAAAGGCAGUGGCUUAACCAUUGUACGCUUUGGAAACUGGG
RNAcentral lists this ribosomal RNA (652 nucleotides) under Streptococcus agalactiae. RNAcentral describes it as "bacterial SSU rRNA". It matches the Rfam family "Bacterial small subunit ribosomal RNA", at positions 1 to 637 of the family's 1533-position model. The record is from RNAcentral. Lineage: Bacteria; Bacillati; Bacillota; Bacilli; Lactobacillales; Streptococcaceae.